UUUUAUUUUUUUUUGUUUUUAAUUAGUAUUGCAUACUGAUGGAAGAGAUUUUUAUGGAUUUAUAAUUAAUAGAAAUAAAGAGUUAAAAAGAACUUGGUUUUAUUAUUGUAUAAUAAGAAUUAGUUUUUUUUGUUUUGAUAUGUCGAUCUUUAUUAUAUCUGUAUUGUUUGAUAUUAUUAGAAAUUUGUGUAGGUGUGUUUUUAAUUUGAGGUUGUAUGAUUUAGAGUUUUUAUUUUUGUGGUGUUGUGACUUAUCUUGUUUAGGGAGAAAGGGUAAAUGGAAGUUUUGAUUUUUAUUAAUUUUUUAAUAAUUUAUUGAUUUUUAUUUUAGUAGAUGUUUUUUAUUUUUUGUUUUUGUUAAAUUUAAUUUUGAGAAUUUGAAAUAUAAUCAAAUGUUUUUAAAGACUGAUGUCUUUAUAUAGGAUUGUCUUCUGCUCUAUGAAUUUUUUAAUGGCCGCCUUAGCGUGAGGGCAUGAAAGUAGCAAAAUGAUUUGUGUUUUUAUUGAAUUCGAGUAUGAAAGGAGGUUUUGGUUAUUUUUAUUCUUUUUUGUUUUGAAUUAUUUUUAUAUUUAAGAAUUAAUAUAAAUGGUUAAACAAAGAUAAGUCUUCGGAAAUUCUGCUGGUUUAUUAUUUUCUUUUUGAUAGUAAUCUGGGUUUUUUAGGGCAAAGGUGUAUGUAGUUUGGGUUUACUAGUGUUAUUGAAUAGAGUUACUCCGGAGUUAACAGAAAUUUACGUUUUUUCUAGAUGUUAUAGAAGGAAGGAUUUUACAUCGAUGUUGUAUUUUAACUGGACGGAGGAGUAGUAAUUCUGUUUUUUGAGACUGUUCUUCUUUUAGGAAGUUAAACGUGAUAUUAGUUUAAUUCAUCGUGAGAUAGAAUUGAUUAUCUUGUUAGUUAUUUUGUUUUUUAGUGGUUAGUACGAAAGGAAAAUUAUUAAAAUUUUAAAUUGUUUAGUG
Molecule: ribosomal RNA, 955 nt
Filed under: Heterakis beramporia
Lineage: Eukaryota; Metazoa; Nematoda; Chromadorea; Rhabditida; Heterakidae
Description: 16S ribosomal RNA
Source: RNAcentral